GUCCCUGUAGCGCAAUGGAUAGCGCAUUGAACUUCGAAUUCAAAGGUCGUGGGUUCGCAUUCUACCAGGGAGG
Trichonephila clavipes is the source of this 73-nucleotide non-coding RNA. The record is from the annotation of a GenBank genome assembly. NCBI's taxonomy places the organism in Eukaryota, Metazoa, Arthropoda, Arachnida, Araneae, Nephilidae.